Molecule: ribosomal RNA, 467 nt
Filed under: uncultured bacterium
Lineage: Bacteria
Description: partial 16S ribosomal RNA
Rfam family: Bacterial small subunit ribosomal RNA
Source: RNAcentral
GACGAACGCUGGCGGCGCGCCUAACACAUGCAAGUCGAACGGAGCUGAGAGAAGCUUGCUUUUCUUAGCUUAGUGGCGAACGGGUGAGUAACGCGUGAGUAACCUGCCCUGGAGUGGGGGACAACAGUUGGAAACGACUGCUAAUACCGCAUAAGCCCACGAUCCGGCAUCGGAUUGAGGGAAAAGGAUUUAUUCGCUUCAGGAUGGACUCGCGUCCAAUUAGCUAGUUGGUGAGGUAACGGCCCACCAAGGCGACGAUUGGUAGCCGGACUGAGAGGUUGAACGGCCACAUUGGGACUGAGACACGGCCCAGACUCCUACGGGAGGCGGCAGUGGGGGAUAUUGCACAAUGGGGGAAACCCUGAUGCAGCGACGCCGCGUGGAGGAAGAAGGUUUUCGGAUUGUAAACUCCUGUCGUUAGGGACGAUAAUGACGGUACCUAACAAGAAAGCACCGGCUAACUACGU